This 465-nucleotide ribosomal RNA is filed under the name Vreelandella stevensii. RNAcentral describes it as "partial 16S ribosomal RNA". It matches the Rfam family "Bacterial small subunit ribosomal RNA", at positions 338 to 795 of the family's 1533-position model. The record is from RNAcentral. Lineage: Bacteria; Pseudomonadati; Pseudomonadota; Gammaproteobacteria; Oceanospirillales; Halomonadaceae.
CCUACGGGAGGCAGCAGUGGGGAAUAUUGGACAAUGGGCGAAAGCCUGACCCAGCCAUGCCGCGUGUGUGAAGAAGGCCUUCGGGUUGUAAAGCACUUUCAGUGGGGAAGAAAGCCUUGGGGCUAAUACCCUCGAGGAAGGACAUCACCCACAGAAGAAGCACCGGCUAACUCCGUGCCAGCAGCCGCGGUAAUACGGAGGGUGCGAGCGUUAAUCGGAAUUACUGGGCGUAAAGCGCGCGUAGGCGGUCUGAUAAGCCGGUUGUGAAAGCCCCGGGCUCAACCUGGGAACGGCAUCCGGAACUGUCAGGCUAGAGUGCAGGAGAGGAAGGUAGAAUUCCCGGUGUAGCGGUGAAAUGCGUAGAGAUCGGGAGGAAUACCAGUGGCGAAGGCGGCCUUCUGGACUGACACUGACGCUGAGGUGCGAAAGCGUGGGUAGCAAACAGGAUUAGAUACCCGGGUAGUC